This 227-nucleotide long non-coding RNA is filed under the name Lathyrus oleraceus (garden pea). Its description in RNAcentral is "Pisum sativum (pea) long non-coding RNA (PSAT_LNC019962)". The record is from RNAcentral. Lineage: Eukaryota; Viridiplantae; Streptophyta; Magnoliopsida; Fabales; Fabaceae.
AAAAACAAAGAAAAUGCUCAUGGUUGUGUGGAUGUAAAAAGAAAAAGAAAAGAAAAAGACGGGGAUCAAAGAAAUGGAAAUUGUGUAGAGUUGAAUAUAUGGAAAUGCUCCCUUAGGAUAGGCAACUUUGUUGAAUUCUCUUAAUCAUAUCCUUUCUUGCAACCCAAGCCACAUUACAACCCUUGAAAGACCUCUUGAUUCUCAUUUUUCACAUGAUUUGGUAUUUG